RNAcentral lists this ribosomal RNA (450 nucleotides) under uncultured crenarchaeote. RNAcentral's name for it is "bacterial SSU rRNA". It matches the Rfam family "Archaeal small subunit ribosomal RNA", at positions 453 to 903 of the family's 1478-position model. Lineage: Archaea; Thermoproteati; Thermoproteota. The record is from RNAcentral.
UGGUGUCAGCCGCCGCGGUAAAACCAGCACCUCAAGUGGUCAGGAUGAUUAUUGGGCCUAAAGCAUCCGUAGCCGGCUCUGUAAGUUUUCGGUUAUAUCUGUACGCUCAACGUACAGGCUGCCGGGAAUACUGCAAAGCUAGGGAGUGGGAGAAGUAGACGGUACUCGGUAGGAAGUGGUAAAAUGCUUUGAUCUAUCGAUGACCACCUGUGGCGAAGGCGGUCUACUAGAACACGUCCGACGGUGAGGGAUGAAAGCUGGGGGAGCAAACCGGAUUAGAUACCCGGGUAGUCCCAGCUGUAAACUAUGCAAACUCAGUGAUGCAUUGGCUUGUGGCCAAUGCAGUGCUGCAGGGAAGCCGUUAAGUUUGCCGCCUGGGAAGUACGUACGCAAGUAUGAAACUUAAAGGAAUUGGCGGGGGAGCACCACAAGGGGUGAAGCCUGCGGUUC